This 335-nucleotide ribosomal RNA is filed under the name uncultured soil bacterium. Its description in RNAcentral is "bacterial SSU rRNA". It matches the Rfam family "Bacterial small subunit ribosomal RNA", at positions 26 to 363 of the family's 1533-position model. The record is from RNAcentral.
AGAUUGAACGCUGGCGGCAGGCCUAACACAUGCAAGUCGAGCGGCAGCACGGGUACUUGUACCUGGUGGCGAGCGGCGGACGGGUGAGUAAUGCCUAGGAAUCUGCCUGGUAGUGGGGGAUAACGCUCGGAAACGGACGCUAAUACCGCAUACGUCCUACGGGAGAAAGCAGGGGACCUUCGGGCCUUGCGCUAUCAGAUGAGCCUAGGUCGGAUUAGCUAGUUGGUGAGGUAAUGGCUCACCAAGGCGACGAUCCGUAACUGGUCUGAGAGGAUGAUCAGUCACACUGGAACUGAGACACGGUCCAGACUCCUACGGGAGCAGCAGUAGGAAUA